ACAGAGGCCUCGAGCGUUAGGCGGAAUCACUGGGCUUAAAGCGUGUGUAGGCGGGCCCGUAAGUGUCUUGUGAAAUCCCACGGCUCAACCGUGGAACUGCUGGGCAUACUGCGGGUCUUGGGCCAACUAGGGGCGACUGGAACAAACGGUGGAGCGGUGAAAUGCGUAGAUAUCGUUUGGAACGCCAAUGGUGAAAACAGGUCGCUGGGGAUGAGCUGACGCUGAGACACGAAAGCCAGGGGAGCAAACGGGA
Molecule: ribosomal RNA, 253 nt
Filed under: uncultured prokaryote
Description: partial 16S ribosomal RNA
Rfam family: Bacterial small subunit ribosomal RNA
Source: RNAcentral